This 508-nucleotide ribosomal RNA is filed under the name Staphylococcus aureus. RNAcentral describes it as "partial 23S ribosomal RNA". It matches the Rfam family "Bacterial large subunit ribosomal RNA", at positions 1052 to 1561 of the family's 2925-position model. The record is from RNAcentral. Lineage: Bacteria; Bacillati; Bacillota; Bacilli; Caryophanales; Staphylococcaceae.
AUAUAUGUUAAGUGGAAAAGGAUGUGGCGUUGCCCAGACAACUAGGAUGUUGGCUUAGAAGCAGCCAUCAUUUAAAGAGUGCGUAAUAGCUCACUAGUCGAGUGACACUGCGCCGAAAAUGUACCGGGGCUAAACAUAUUACCGAAGCUGUGGAUUGUCCUUUGGACAAUGGUAGGAGAGCGUUCUAAGGGCGUUGAAGCAUGAUCGUAAGGACAUGUGGAGCGCUUAGAAGUGAGAAUGCCGGUGUGAGUAGCGAAAGACGGGUGAGAAUCCCGUCCACCGAUUGACUAAGGUUUCCAGAGGAAGGCUCGUCCGCUCUGGGUUAGUCGGGUCCUAAGCUGAGGCCGACAGGCGUAGGCGAUGGAUAACAGGUUGAUAUUCCUGUACCACCUAUAAUCGUUUUAAUCGAUGGGGGGACGCAGUAGGAUAGGCGAAGCGUGCGAUUGGAUUGCACGUCUAAGCAGUAAGGCUGAGUAUUAGGCAAAUCCGGUACUCGUUAAGGCUGAGC